UCAUAGAUUCUGCGAAUCAGGAAACCAGCCAGGAGGACUAGUUUCGACUCCAUAUCUGAGACCUGGGCUGGGAAGACUUCGUCAGCUGGAGGUAGCUGACCAAAUUCCCAGGGGCUGGAAGCAUCCGGAUGCCACUUCCCACACAUCUGACACCUGGCCUGAGAUGACUGGAAGGCUGGACUCAGGGGGAACUGCAAAGCAAGACAUCAACUCAUAUGACUUCUCCAUGGAGCUUGGGUGUCCUCACAACAUUGCAGCUUCAAAGUCCUUGAACGUCUUACUUGGCACCUCCAGCUUCCAAGAGGUGGUCAUGAAAGGCCUUUGCGAAGACGGGGCAUGGACCUAAAUGGAAUAUGAAUACUCGUCAUACAUCAUGUGGAUUCCUGGAGGAAGAGCUCUGCACAUGCCAAAGGCUUGACAGAGGAGAGGGAGUGGGAGGACGUAUCGCUCCAACAUCCUUAGAGGGAAUAAAUGAUAAGAGGAAAGGGCCAGAGUUCAGAGCUUGUGUGCCCAACACCAGCACCAACAUGCCAGCUUGAAUGUCUAGCACAGCCUGUUCCUGGGUCCAUGAGAAGAGAUGAGGUCAGAGAGAUACUAGAGGGCCAGAGCCUGCAGAACUUUGUGGGUCAUUGUUAGGAUGUUGGCUUUCACUUUGAAUGAGCUGGGGAACCAUUGAAUAUGCUGAGUAGAGAUGUUUCAUGAUCUGAAUAGACUUUAAGGAGCAAGAAUGGAGGCAGGGACCAGUUAAGAGGCUGCGAUAAGAGUUUAGGCCAAAGAUCACAUGGAAUUGGAUCAGGAUGGCCGAGGUGAAGGUGGUGGAAAAUACAAAGAUGGUUUGCCAACUCUCCAAGUGAGGCUGAAAGAUUUGCUCCUGGGACUGUGCAUGAAAUGGAGAAAUCACAGUCACUUCAAAGUCUUGUCUUAAGAAAGCAAGAGAAUGGAGUUGUCACUGGCUGAGAUGGAAGGAGUUCGGGGUGAUCAGCAUGUUUGGGGGAGACUGAAAUGUGGGCUUCUGUGUUUGACAGGCUACACUGACCAUGACUCUCGGACCUCCACGUGGAAAUGUUGAGCAAGCAAACACACAAGUCUAGAGCUGGAGGAGCAGCCUGUCUCAAAACCCUGCAGUCCUUGCUAAGCUCCGUUCCAUUUGCUCACCACCCAGCCAGCAAGCCCUCCCCGCACCCCACCACCAUGUUGUAGUCCCUCUCUCUGUGUCUCUUGGUUCAAAUUUUGAAGAGAGAAAUCUGAUUGAUGGAUAGACACCAAUGGGUUGGCUGACUUUGAAUCUGAUGCUUCCAUCUGUGGCCAGCGAGAGGAGGACUCUGCUUUUCCAACAUAGACGUCUGGACUCAGAAGAUCCUUGCGUCAGGCAUUUCCCGGGAAAAGGAACUAUUUUAUAGUAAAUGUCACCCUAGUGCAAAUUCUGUAGUUGCAAAAGUAGCAAAGGAGAAAGUCCAUGGUUUCCCGAUAAGCCCUUCCUGAGAAUAAACUUCAGGUAUGAUGAUGAGCUAAACAUUAAAUAAAUAGGAAUCAAAUACACUGGAAUGAAAGCAGUGAGGUUAAAAAAAGGGGGGAAGAAAAGAGGAUCGAAAUGAAAAGGAAAGAAAAGAAAAUGUAGAAAACAAGAGGGAAAGAACAGAGUUCACCAAAUGAAACGUUUCCCUGAGAAUGUGUGUGUGUGUCUGAGGCCAGUAGAUCAGUAGAGAAAGAAUGAAUCAGGGGUUUUAGAGAAACAAAAAUGCAAAAAGGGGGGAAAGGGGGUAUGUGUUGGAUUAUAGCCAGUUUUCCAGCUCCAGACAUCUGGAGCCAAGACAGGGAAAGGUGAGGAGAUGUCCUUUGCCGCAGCUCUUGCCUCCAUGGG
Molecule: long non-coding RNA, 1861 nt
Organism: Phacochoerus africanus (Common warthog)
Lineage: Eukaryota; Metazoa; Chordata; Mammalia; Artiodactyla; Suidae
Exons: 3
Source: RefSeq, a predicted model, not a curated record